Molecule: long non-coding RNA, 7005 nt
Organism: Dermochelys coriacea (leatherback sea turtle)
Lineage: Eukaryota; Metazoa; Chordata; Testudines; Dermochelyidae
Exons: 3
Source: RefSeq, a predicted model, not a curated record
ACAUAUCAGUUAAGUUCACAUUUUGAAACAUCUAGUUUUUUCCAGGUUGGACCAAACUAAAUCCACAUGAAGCACAUUGCUAGUCACCCAAUAAAGUUCCAUUAAAGCGUCCUGUUAAUCUCACAGUAAGAUCAUGCAGUGUGUGACUUGUGCUCCACUCUAAAACAUACCACUCCCAUCAAAGGAACUCUACAUUUUGCGAUAGUGGUAUGUACUAUUUCUUUUGCUGGACAGACAUCCUGUUGCCAAUUGCCAAGCCACGGCUCCAGAACUGGCUGCAAAGGAUGGUUUACUUGCCCUCCCAGACACAGGAAAAGAAACGGUUCACAGGACUCUUGUGAAAAUGAAGUUGAUGAGGCAGAUUCUUAUCCCAGAGCACAAGGAAAAUCUCAUACCAAUGCAUUCCCCUCUGACAUCCAGUUGGAAUCCUUUGUUGCACUCACAGCGGUAGCUCCCAGGAGUUGGAAUACAGCGCCCAUUAAGACAGAGAUGUCUGAAUAGCUGGCAAUAGUCAGUGAAAUUAACUGGCAAAACCACUGAAAUGAAAGAGUUACAAAAGUAGAUUAAUAGGUUAUAAUAAUGAUUUUCUGUAAUACUUUCUCUAAUACAACUCGUAUAGCAUUCUCCAUUAAAAGUUAACAUUUACCUUCCAUCAACACAUAGAUUAGAGAAGAAAUUGGAUAGCACUAAGCGUGCAAAAGCAGCACUAUGUCCCAGACAGCACUGUUUGAGAAUGGCUGGUAAAUGUUGACUUUUUCAUGGUGACAGCUAUAAUCUGCUUUCCCAUCUUGCAGAACACAACUUUUAGGGCUAAACCCAUGCAUAAGGAGGUGUGUGGUAUUAUAUAGGGAUGAUAAAAAGCCAGCAUUAGCCAACAGCUGCGACACAGUACCUCAAAUAUCUCCAUUUUUAUAGCUAGGAAUUGGACAGAUUACUGUGGUAACUAUGUGGUAUCAGUUGGCAAGUGCUUACUGUGGGCUGCAUUGGCAUUUUGCAAACCAGUCUGAGUAAGGGACAGGAUAGGGAAUGAACUGACACUCUGAAAGUCAGAGUUCUUUUCCUGCUUCCUCCUUGCACCAGACACCUAAACCUUCCCCUAGCCUUUUCCUUGGCACAGUUUACUUCUCUCUCUACAGUGGCUCACUUGCACGGGCCAGUGCACUGGAUGAGUAUGUGAGGCAUGCUGAAUUGGAGCUCUGGUUCCACUUUCUCCCCACACCUGUCUGCUUAAUCCCCACUCACCUAAGGAACAGUGGAAGUAGCAGCCUGGCAGCAGCAGUUGCUCUCCCUCACACAAGUGUGAGAGAUACAGCAAUUUCCUGCCAUACCCUUGGGAGACCUUACUGCAUUCAAUUUAAGUAUCUUUGGGGUUCAUUGUAUCAAUGUACUACCACAGUCUGGGAUUUUACGAAACCUCUCAAGUCAGGGAGGAUGUGACAGAUGUGAGACCUUGGGGUUCAAUUAACUAUAUUGAACAAUGUGCCUGACAAGAACAGACUUUUGGAAUAAAACAUGUUCAAUGUUUUUCCUGGUGAAUAUCUAGAGGAAGGUGAAUGCUAAUUCCUUAACCUCCAGUUAUACAAAAUCCCAGCCUGGGGAGUGGGCCAUUGUCUGCUGAUCACCUGUUGGAUGAGGCCAAGAUCAUAGGCCCAAAGUGUAUAAAGGAAGGACUGAACUAUUCACUGCUGUUCUGGUUCUGAAUGUGAGAUGGUUAUGAAUUGUAACCACAGGGAAAACCCAGUUGUGGGUUUUGAGGGACUGACACCUACCAGAGCCUGAGGUUGGAGUCAGGGUGACCUGUAGUAAGCUUUAUAGCACAUUUGUGGGUUCUUUUAUUGUUUUUAAUAUGUUUUCUCUGUAAUGCUUUCAGUCUUAAGAAUACAUAUACUUGCUUAUAAAGAGCUGGGUGCUAACUUAUAGCUGGGCAAUUACACUGUUCAUAACUUCUAGAGAGGAAGCAAAAAGCAAAUGCUGGCUUGCUAGGCAGUCUGGCUUGCUGGGGAUAUCACAGUGUAGACAGGGAAUUGUGUAGCCUGGAAAAACCCUCGUCAGGAAGGAGAGCAAUGUGUGUCUCUGCCCAAGAGAGGUGAUGGCUGAGGAGCCAGGAUCUUAAAGUGGGUGCCAGACCAUGGGGGGGGGGGAAUAGAGGUGCUGCUGCCCUGAACUUGUGACAGCAAGGACUUGCAAUAUGAGUAGCCUGCACAGGGAAGUAAGGGAACUCAUUAUAAUCCUUCCUCCCCUUCGCAGACAUGUAGUUGGGCUCAAGACUGAGCCUUAAAAAUGACAACCAGCACAGCACAUUGGCCAUGGUAAAUAUAAUGUAGGAGUAAAGAUGGUAUCUAAUUAAGAGGGGAUGGUGUUACAGAGAAUGCAGGUCUACCACAAGGGGCCUGGUUACAGGGAAAACAAGACAUGGUUAUCCUGAAACCCAGUCAGUGCACAUGCAACCACCCAAAGCAAGCACAAGACAGCAACAAUAGGAGUGAGCACACUGCUCCUGAGAAAUUCACAUUUUAAAUGUGAUAAAGACCCAGUAUCCUGCAGGGAAAGGGCUAAUAUUUAUUCUUACCAUGUGGAGGUGGACCGCGUGAUGGAGGUGGAAAAACAAUGUCUGGCCGUUGUGGUAUCACAGGAAUCAGAGGAGGAUAAACAUCAGGAAGGCCUGGAGGAAGAUCAGGUCUCCCAGGCGUUAGCCCAGCUACCACGCAUAACUUGCGAUACUCCUCUGAAACAUGAAUACACAGCACUUCAGUCUGGUGAUAGUAAACAUGAAAUACCUUCCUGGAAAAUGGAGACCAAGUGAACUUGUUUCGUAACAGAGGACCUCAUUCUGUGAACUGUCCUUCUAGUCCAAAGUAGAAUUUAGUACACAGUUCAUCAAAGCACUGCCAGUAAAGAGAGAACAUGUCAUUGGAAAUCUACAUUUAAAAGCCACGAGGGGGCAUCAGGGAACCAAUCCUAUUCUAUUUAUUUAGUCUCUUUCAGGCAAUAUCUCUGCCAAACUCAAUGGGAAUAAGAACUUUUGGACUGGGCCCCAAAUUAACUACCAUCCUGAAGUCUUAAAAAUUCAGCCCGUCCUGCAGGCUGACUUCCACAGAACAACACUGAGUUUCUGUUUAAAGAAAAGAAACAAAACAAAAAAUAAAAACCUUCUUUCCUGUAUGUCAAGUGAAAUUUUCAGGCUCCAGGGUUGUAUUUUUGUCUCUCAUUAGCAUCUCAAGUUGUAAAUCCCUUUAUUAGCUCAGAAUAAGAAGAGUGAACUUGAAGGCUACAUAACUUACAUUAACAAAACCUAUAAUAUGUAAAGUGAUUUUACAUAUAUUUUCAAGGUAUAAUAUACUAGUAUAACUGACGAUCACAAGGCCACAUUUUCAACUGACCUUUUUAAUCAAGUCCACAAAACAUGUAUAUACAAAUAGUCAUUAGUGCAUGCAAAUCUGAAGGCUUUGGGGCAAUAAUGAAGGGGUUCAGUGAAAAUGAUGCUAAGAGAUAAAUUAGUCCUAAAAAAAUAAAGUAGUAUGCAUGUACAAAACACUUAACAUAACAAAUUAUAACUUUUUCCUAAGGACAUUGCCAGGAAAGUUAGAUUGAACGCUUUAGUCUUCAAUCCGACUGUCCAACAGCUUAUAUGCUGUUCAAUAUGUUAGAGUAGAUUUGUUAAAUAUGAUAUUAACCUAAGAUUUUCUUUUCCCCGUCAUGAUCCACUGCAUUUGUUUUGCUUCUCUUGGACAACCAGGCUGCUUUACGUUUCACUGUAUUUCCCUUUCCUGCUCUUUAAAGUGUCUUUACCUUUAAAGUCUUUCCCAAUAUUUUUUUUAUUAGAUAAGAGAUUUUCAGGUUUUGUUUUUUUAUUUAAGCUUAUAGGAUUUGUUGUAACUUUCUUUUUCACUCCUCAUUCAGAAAGUGUGUUGAAUCUGCUUUCAGUUAGUUAGUCUAACAGCUAUAAAAAUAACCUUUACGUUAGACAUUCAGAAGGAAUAGUGUGUGUGUGAGAAAAAGGCAGACACACACAGAUAUUUAAAUAUCUGUUAAUGACUAAGUGUAUCUUUAGAAGAGGAGAGGUGACCAGGGGAAGUAUCCAGACAGUAGAGAUACAGGAGAGCAACACUGACUGCCCACUGGAAUACUGGAUAGUUUAUCGUCACUGGGGCAUAGGAGUGUCUAUACUGGAAACCCAGAGAGACUUCAUUCCCCUGGGAAAUACAGAUUGUGAGCCCAACUUUCAAACAUGGACAUCUAAACUGCAACUCCCAAUUCCUUAUUGGUGUGCUCAAAUCAGCAAACAGUUGCCAUAAUCCCCUUUUUAAACACCUACAUUUGAGCAUCCUAAUUUAAGUGCCCACUUUAGAAAAUUUGCCUUUGUGAGCCAACAGGGAACUUCUUUGAUGCUGUGUGUGACUAGAGAGAUUGUUAGUCUUGGAUCACAGUAUUGUUGAAAUUUAUCACAGUUAGUGGGAAUCUGGUUACAUGACAACACUAAUGAUAGAAAAGCUAUAUGCAAGUAAUUAACCAGUUUCUGAGAGAGGAAAUACUGUAUUUUAAAGUCUGGUGGUUUAUCAGCAAAGUAGCUGAGUGUAACGCAUUCUUGGACAAGCCCCUCUCCACUAGAACAAAUCACAGCACCCCUGUGUUUAGAUGAGAAGUGGACCUACUAGGCUGAAGACUUUAGAUACCAAUUUAAAAGUAUUUAUAGUUUUAAUGGUGAAUCCUGCCCUUCAGUAUUAACAAUUAUUGCUGUGAUAUGCAACAGAAUACAGAGCAGGCCUUUUUUUAUUGGAACUUUAAUCUCCAUGUAUAAUUGCCAGCAAUAAACAGCCUAUUUUAUAGUAACAGCUGCAAGAGGGUCUGCUGCCCACAUUGAAAAAGCAACUGCCUGGUUAUGCAACCAGUGCUCUACUUUGUAUUACAUUAAAUUUCCAUAUCAGAGUUGGAGAGACUUGGCCUCACCAAUGUCAUUCACAGACAGCCAUAAAAUUCCUAGAUUUGGGCUCACUCUUAGGACAUAUUUAGAAAUCAGUGAGCCUGUAAUACUAUGGAUGAUAAUGCUGUGUGUGUUUCUAGCCUCUCUCACCAGAGGAUUUGAAAGCAGUUUAGAAAGGAAAGUAUAAAUUACUAAAUUCCAUUUUAGGCUAGGUCUACAUUAUGGCUGCAUGUACAGUACAGACACUUCACGAGCCCCUGACGUGUAUAAAUAGCCACGUAGAAGGUGAGACACCGCUUAGGCAAGUAGAGACACGCUAGAAUCUUAGAGUACAUACCCUGCAUGGCUCUCUACACAUGACAUGCUACCCACAUCCACAUUGCUGGUUUUAGUGUCCCAAAGCCUCCCUCAUGCCAGAGCCUUUCCUCACCACAAUGAAAGACUCUGACAGUGGGGAAAGGCUCUGGCAUGGUAGAGGUAACGAGAAAAGGCUCCUGAAGAAUUUCUCCGCUGCUUCCCUCGUGCCAGAGCCUUUCACUGCCAUGUGCAGCUACACACCGCAGUGUGGAUGCUGCCUAAUUUUCACUGCGGCAUUUAGCUACAUUGUACCCUACACGCUGUUACUCUGUCUUUAAGGCCUUUUCUGGUAAGAGAAGCACAGAGAAGUUAAAAAACUUGCCCAAAGCAGCAUGAGCUGUCGAGACUUAGCACAAGCGUGAGAGUCAGGAAGUCGUAAGUUCUCAAUUCUGCUCUGCCAUUGACUUACUACGUGGUCUUAGGCAAAUCACUUUUCUGCCUCAGUUUCUUCAGCUAUUAAAUGGGAAUAAUCAGGAGUUGUGUAAAGGAAAGUGAGCAGUGUGUUAAAAGCAGAGGGGAGCUCCCACUCCUCCCCCCUGUCUUGGGAAAAAGCACUCCCCUACAGCUCCCCAUCCUAUUUUAACCUGCUUUCGCCAGGGGAUAAUACUAUUUGCUUAGUAUUAGUCUAGUAUUCUAAUCGUUGUCUCUACACUGCUUCGAACAUAUAAAGUACUAUAUGAAUUUGAAGUACGAUCAUUCAAGUCACUCAAUAAGACAGUGACAGAGCCAGGAAUAGAACCCAGGUUCUGACCUUAGAACACUGCUCUCACCACUAGAUUAUGCUGCCUCACUCAACCGGUUAAAAAAUAGGGAUCAUAAACUCUCCCCCAUCCUGUGAACCAAACCUGCAUUUUUUCAUAUUUACAUUGCUUUGCAGAAAGAGACCACUCCACCUCCUCUCUAGCCUCCUCCCACUCCCUAGCUCCUGAUCUAGUGUGAGUUCCCUCCCUGUAAUCUUCCUCAAGUCUCUUACACUCUUCUUUCCUGUGACUUUCCAGUAGGCCUUCAGUCCACCUUCUCUCCUAAACACCCUUCAGCAGACCCAUCCUAUGUCCCUUUCCACUUGGUUUCACAAUCCACUUGUGCUACUACUCUGUUGGGCCCUGGCCAGCUCUGAUUCCAUAUGUCAUGUUCCCUCGGACACUCAAUGCAAUGUAGGGCAAAUAAUUGCAGAGCACAUGAAUUCAGUGACAAUCAGGACCAGCCAUGAGGAAUCACAUGGUUUAAAUGAAAGGACACUCAGUGGUUGCAGGCCCUCAGAGAAAAGGGGCCAAUCAGAAGAUUGAGAGACAGGACAAAAGGAGAUAAAGACUAUUGGAAGGUCAUAGUGGGAGGAGAUAUGGGAAGGAACUAGAGCCUACAACAGGAUUAUGGAGGGAGUAGCCUGUGCCUAUUGACAGGGUUUUUGAGAAAGACGACUAAAAAUUAGGUUAAGACCGAACAUCCAGUCCUUUAGAGAUUGCUCAUCACUAGCCAUAAUCCUUUUCAUAAGAUUUCAGCUAAGUCUGCACUGCAAACAUUACUCACAAAACAGGAUAACUGAACAGGGAAGUGCUAAACCAUUAUUGUAAGAAUGCAAAAUGAUCCAUACCAGUAGCUCGGAUUGGGCACAUUUCAGGGGCACUUGUUGCCCCAGGAGACCAGCAUCGUCCAGUGUCACAGCAGCAUUGCAUUUUAGUUAAAACUUGGGGUAGCUGAUUGCCACAACGGCCAUUGGUCAGAGAAGA